UAAAUAUUAUCUCUGUCCCGAAUUACUUGACUUAGAUUUUUCUAAAUACGGAUGUAUCUAACACUAAAACAUGUCUAGAUUCAUCUAUAUCUAGACAAAUCUAAAACAAGUAAUUCGGGACCGAGGGAGUAACAA
Triticum aestivum (bread wheat) is the source of this 135-nucleotide non-coding RNA. The record is from Rfam. NCBI's taxonomy places the organism in Eukaryota, Viridiplantae, Streptophyta, Magnoliopsida, Poales, Poaceae.